UACGUAGGCAGCGAGCGUUGUUCGGAGUUACUGGGCGUAAAGGGUGUGUAGGCGGUUGUUUAAGUUUGGUGUGAAAUCUCCCGGCUCAACUGGGAGGGUGCGCCGAAUACUGAAUGACUAGAGUGCGGGAGAGGAAAGUGGAAUUCCUGGUGUAGCGGUGAAAUGCGUAGAUAUCAGGAGGAACACCGGUGGUGUAGACGGCUUUCUGGACCGUAACUGACGCUGAGGCACGAAAGCGUGGGUAGCAAACAGG
This 253-nucleotide ribosomal RNA is filed under the name uncultured bacterium. RNAcentral's name for it is "partial 16S ribosomal RNA". It matches the Rfam family "Bacterial small subunit ribosomal RNA", at positions 524 to 776 of the family's 1533-position model. The record is from RNAcentral.